GACGAACGCUGGCGGCGUGCCUAAUACAUGCAAGUCGAGCGGACGUUUUUGAAGCUUGCUUCAAAAACGUUAGCGGCGGACGGGUGAGUAACACGUGGGCAACCUACCUUAUCGACUGGGAUAACGCCGGGAAACCGGGGCUAAUACCGGAUAACAUCUAGCACCUCCUGGUGCCGGAUUAAAAGAGGGCUUCUUGCUCUCACGAUGAGAUGGGCCCGCGGCGCAUUAGCUAGUUGGAGAGGUAACGGCUCCCCAAGGCGACGAUGCGUAGCCGACCUGAGAGGGUGAUCGGCCACACUGGGACUGAGACACGGCCCGGACUCCUACGGGAGGCAGCAGUAGGGAAUCUUCCGCAAUGGACGAAAGUCUGACGGAGCAACGCCGCGUGAGUGAUGAAGGGUUUCGGCUCGUAAAGCUCUGUUAUGAGGGAAGAACACGUACCGUUCGAAUAGGGCGGUACCUUGACGGUACCUCAUCAGAAAGCCACGGCUAACUACGUGCCAGCCGCCGCCGUAA
This 516-nucleotide ribosomal RNA is filed under the name uncultured bacterium. RNAcentral's name for it is "partial 16S ribosomal RNA". It matches the Rfam family "Bacterial small subunit ribosomal RNA", at positions 28 to 523 of the family's 1533-position model. The record is from RNAcentral.